RNAcentral lists this ribosomal RNA (350 nucleotides) under Priestia megaterium. Its description in RNAcentral is "bacterial SSU rRNA". It matches the Rfam family "Bacterial small subunit ribosomal RNA", at positions 49 to 386 of the family's 1533-position model. Lineage: Bacteria; Bacillati; Bacillota; Bacilli; Caryophanales; Bacillaceae. The record is from RNAcentral.
CUAUACAUGCAGUCGAGCGAACUGAAGGUAGAAGCUUGCUUCUAUGACGUUAGCGGCGGACGGGUGAGUAACACGUGGGCAACCUGCCUGUAAGACUGGGAUAACUUCGGGAAACCGAAGCUAAUACCGGAUAGGAUCUUCUCCUUCAUGGGAGAUGAUUGAAAGAUGGUUUCGGCUAUCACUUACAGAUGGGCCCGCGGUGCAUUAGCUAGUUGGUGAGGUAACGGCUCACCAAGGCAACGAUGCAUAGCCGACCUGAGAGGGUGAUCGGCCACACUGGGACUGAGACACGGCCCAGACUCCUACGGGAGGCAGCAGUAGGGAAUCUUCCGCAAUGGACGAAAGUCUGA